Molecule: long non-coding RNA, 287 nt
Filed under: Homo sapiens (human)
Lineage: Eukaryota; Metazoa; Chordata; Mammalia; Primates; Hominidae
Description: non-protein coding LINC00620:8
Source: RNAcentral
CCGCUGCCCGACUGGGUCUCUUAAGAACAUCUGUCCGAUCUGAAUCUCUGGCCUGCCUGUGUGUGUGUGUUUUUUAAAUUUAUUUUCAGUCCCCUCGCCCUCCUUGGAUUGCAGCAAGGAAAGAGGUGUGUCUUCCGCAGAAAAAUGUGCAUGUUCUUUUAGAUGUGUGGCCUCCGAGCAAGGUAUUUAGCCUGCCUCUAUGUGCUCACCUGGAAAAUGGGGUGAUGAAGAAGAUGAUGAUGAUAAUGGGAACUCCCUCUUGGAGCUGCUGUGCAGAUGAAUUUUCC